This 340-nucleotide unclassified non-coding RNA is filed under the name Epithamnolia sp. Its description in RNAcentral is "partial contains 5.8S ribosomal RNA, internal transcribed spacer 2, and large subunit ribosomal RNA". RNAcentral also lists the same sequence under 1 other name. The record is from RNAcentral. Lineage: Eukaryota; Fungi; Ascomycota; Leotiomycetes; Phacidiales.
AACGCAUAUGGCACCCGAGACCUCGGUCGAGGGUAUGUCUGCGUCAGAGUCGGCGUAAAAACAUCCCCAAGGACACACCACCUCUCUUAAAUGCGGGGCGUGUCGGCGGGGGAGCUGGACUUCCCACCUUUCUCGGGUGGGUCGUCCGAAGGACAGAGACGGAGGAGCGGGCCGCUGGCCCGUCAGUGCCACGAUUUGGUGGGAGGACGGGGACUUGAUCCCCUAUCCGCAUCAUCGUCGUGCGCUGGUGGAGACGCCUAUGGCUCGUCUCGCUCCGCCAUGCAGGAAAUAAAUAAUCCAGUCCGACCUGACAUCAGGCAAGAUCACCCGCUGAACUUAA